AUGGCUGCGUCCACACUUUCAUCCCUCCUCUCUCCAUUCUGCAUUUCAGCAAAGGCUUGGUUAUUUGGAAUUCCUCCCCAAAGUUUCACUUCCUGGGCUAGUUUUAGGCCUGCUAAACCCAUGGUGAUCAGCACUUUUAGAAAAAUCAGCAUCUUAGAAACAACAUGUUAGACAUGAUUUCAAGCCCCUGGUAACUUAAACCCAAUUAUAAAUGGCUUUGGCUAUAAAGUGUUCUUGAAUGAAAACGUUUAGGAAGUAGGCCUGGAUUCAGAUGCUUCAGAGGCUCAAAGGUUUUCUAAUUGUUUAUGGAGAAGAUUGAUCUUCACAAGCUAGUUUUUUCAUAGGCAAAAGCAAAAGUCUCUUCCUGUGUUAUUAAGUGAAAAUGGCUGAUUAUAAAAAGGGGCUUACAAACAAUAUUUAACAAAUCUUCAUCAAGUCCCUACUCUGUGGCAGGCCCUGGGUCAGGAGGUUGCCGAUUCCAGGAAGAAUCAGACCUUAUCCCUGCCCUUGAGUCUCAAGAAGAGGAAAGGAAAACAAAUAAGCAUAGUACAGUGUGAAAAGUGGGACUGUGGUCAAAUUUCAGUCUGCAAACUCAGAAUGGAUGAAAUAUGAAAGACUGACAACAUCAAGUUGUCAAGUAGGACAGGAUGUGGAACCACUGGAACUCAUACGUGACUGAUGGGAAUGCAAAAUGAUACCGAUCCCUUGGAAAACUCCUUGGCAACUUUAAUAAACAUAAAUCUACCCUAUGAUCCAGAAAUUCCACUCUGAGUCACGUCUCCAAGAGCAAUGAAAAUAUAUACCCACAAAAGACUGCACAUAAAUCAGAACAGCAUUGUUGAUAAUAGCCCAAACUGGAAACAACCUAAAUAUUCACCAAUAGAAGCCUGAAUAAAUUCAUACUGUGGGAUACUCUACAGCAAUGAGGUAGAUGAACUAUUACUGCCUACAACAACAUGAAAGAAAGUAAAAGUCACUACUUUGAUAAUUAUAAACACAAAAAAGUAAACAUAUCAUUCUAUUCAUAUGAAGAGUUAUCUAAAUAAUUAGUAAAAUUGAUCUAUGAUUUUAGAAGUGGUACCUCUGGAGGAGAAGGAGGGGUACUGUUACUGACUGAGAAGGGAGUUCUGGAAAAAUUCUAUACUUUGAUCUUUGGGAUGGUUACACAGAUGUAUAGACAGGCAAAAAUUCAUUGAACUUUACAUUUAUUAUUUGUACAUUUUACCAUAUGCAAAUUGUCCCUCAAUUUAAAAAAUCUCAUUUUCCUUAAAAAAACACAGAGGCAAACAUUUCAAAAACAAUAUCUCACCUUAGAUGAGAUAUAGAGGCAAGCAGGCAGCCCCACUAUGAGAGCCUGGAAAAGGCAUUAGACACACUGUGUGUGGGGUGCAGUAGGGACAGAGAGACACUCAAGGAGGGUUUCUUGUGGGAGGUGACAGCUAAACAUUGAAGGACCUGUACUGAAAGUCAAACAAAGAGAAGGCUAAGGGCAUUCCAGGCUCAAGGAAACAGCAUGCAAGGGCACUCACAGCAUCCCAAGAGAAGUUGACUGAGAGAAGGAGGGUGUGGGGAAGGGACAAAACGACGAAGCCACAGAUGUCAAUGGGAGUCAGAUCUGACAGCUCACAAGCCAAAGGGAGGCCCAAGGGAGGCCCCGCAGAGUUGUGAUUGGAGUUGGACUUUAAGGAGGCCACUCUGGAGGAAGGGAGGAAGGUGGUUUAGAGGUGGUUGCAGUAAUCCACAGAUGGGGUAUGGGGCCUGAACUAGCGCAGCGGCCAUGGGGAUUGGGGCUGGGAGAAGAGCUUCCAGAGAUACUUAGGAGGAAGACUUUGGUAACCAGCAGUAUAGCGGGACAGGAGAGGAAAUCGUUAAGGAAACUCAUGGGUUCUUGCCUUUCAUGGCAAGGUGGAGCUAUUUACUGAGAAAAAGAUAGGAAGAGCUACAUUUAUUUAUUUAUUUAUUAUA
RNAcentral lists this long non-coding RNA (1965 nucleotides) under Homo sapiens (human). RNAcentral describes it as "HSALNT0310385". Lineage: Eukaryota; Metazoa; Chordata; Mammalia; Primates; Hominidae. The record is from RNAcentral.